GACGUAGGGCGCGAGCGUUGUCCGGAAUUAUUGGGCGUAAAGAGCUCGUAGGCGGUUUGUCGCGUCUGCUGUGAAAAUCCAGGGCUUAACCCUGGACCUGCAGUGGGUACGGGCAGACUGGAGUGCGGUAGGGGAGAUCGGAAUUCCUGGUGUAGCGGUGAAAUGCGCAGAUAUCAGGAGGAACACCGGUGGCGAAGGCGGAUCUCUGGGCCGUAACUGACGCUAAGGAGCGAAAGCAUGGGGAGCGAACAGG
RNAcentral lists this ribosomal RNA (253 nucleotides) under uncultured bacterium. RNAcentral's name for it is "partial 16S ribosomal RNA". It matches the Rfam family "Bacterial small subunit ribosomal RNA", at positions 524 to 776 of the family's 1533-position model. The record is from RNAcentral.